Long non-coding RNA from Neofelis nebulosa (Clouded leopard), 4383 nucleotides. RefSeq lists it as uncharacterized. The transcript is spliced from 3 exons. Lineage: Eukaryota; Metazoa; Chordata; Mammalia; Carnivora; Felidae. The record is from RefSeq and is a predicted model, not a curated record.
CUCAGGGUCACCAAGGCUACUAAAGCUAAGAAAGCAGACAGCUCCUAUUGGGGUCUUGAUUUGCAAAUCACACAAUACAUUAAGUCAAGAGGCUUCCAAAAUAGGAGGAUAAAGGCUUCAAACAUCAAAUCAGAAAGUGAAAAUACAAAGACAGUGGUCACCACGUGGUUCCUGAGAAACAGCGGGCAAAGCCCAAAGUGAGGGCAGCCCUCUCCCGGCAUCCUUUGCCCACUCUUUCUGCCUUUCCUACAAAGAACCUUCCAUGCCCCAUAAAGCUGCUCAAAAAAAUGCAGCUGAAUCAUAUCAACUACUGGAAAUUACAAACAGAAUUUCAUGAAUAUUACACUCCUUUCAUGCAAAGAACCUGGAGAAGUUUUUACAAAUAAUUUAAUUCAAUUAAUCCUUGAGUAUUGAAUUUCAGAUGCUUGAAUCUAUAAUUGAAUCUUUUUAAGGAGGAGAAAUCUAUUACAUGCACAAAUACACUGACUCAAACCUUUAUGGUCAUAAAGAACCUUCUGGAAAAGGGGUGCUUGGCUGGAAGCUAGGUCACUCUUGACUUCACCUUCUCCUCAUCAGUAUCCUGCCGCAGCCCCUGCCCUUCACUCAUCUCAGCAACCCUCCACGCUGCCCACAACUGGUGCCCCCACAGUCCCUGCAAAGCGGCUUCCCCAGUCCCUGCGUUUAAGACACGGCCGCCUUCCAACUCCUGGACCUGACCCUCAUUGGCUCAGACCCAGUGAUGUACUCAUCUCUGAGCCAAUCAUGGUGGGCAAGGGGAGGGGCUAGCUGAGGGGCUUAGACCAUUCCGGAUCCACGCCUGGAGUGCGCAUGGGCUUUCCCAGAAGUCGGUGCAGUCACAGACGGACAGGGAGCUAGAGACCUGCCGUGCCAACCCGCCAACGUUCCUCUGCCGCAGUCGAUUCUGGAUCAUCCUGAUGUCCCUGGAAACUGAGGCUCUUGAAUCUAUGACACUUUACAACUAGACUCUGAGGCCCUGACCUGGGACGUCCCCAGCAAGGGAGAGUCCCGCAGGUUCGUGAGCUGGGCCCCCGCUUUGGGCCACGGGUCUGCUUGUGGCCUUGGGCCUGGCACUGGGCUCUGCUAACACGGAAGUUUCCAGGCCCACCUCCUGCUAAACGGAGCGCUGAGUGCUAGGAGUUGAUUGCGCUGGGCUGAAAGCAUUCCACCUGUGAGUUCGUCUGCUCCGGGUUUGUCUGGAUCAGGGGCGAGCCGCUCCCGUCUAAUUAUCUUUGUUCUACUCCCAGCCCGCUGGGAGCUCAAGAGUGCUUCCAUAAGGGGACACUGUCAACCCAGAGGAACUGGUUGACAGGCCAGGCCAGGGGGGAGAGCGGCGGCCUGGCCCAGGGUGAGUGCCCUGGGCGCAGGGUUCAGUCUGCUUCUGGAUGUUUCCUCCCCCCACCCCGCCCAUCCAGAGCCCUUUGUUGUUUGGAUUGAACUGAGGUCAUUAGCUUUUUGGCAUCGGAACAGUAUUUCAGAGGGGGUCCGUGUGGGUCUAUGAACCAGGUGGUUCUCUGUGGGGGGUGUCCUGUGCCCUGCAGAGGUUCAGCAGCACCCCAGCAUCCACCCUGCCUGUGCCCGCACACCCACCCCCUGGUUGUAACAACCAGAAGUGUCUGUAGACAUUGCCUGGUGUCCCUGGAGGCAUAGCCGCUCCCGUUGGAACCACUGACCUGUGAACAGGCUGGUAAAAACAGCCCUGGACAGGCACCUGCGUGGCUCAGUCAGUUAAGCCUCUCUGACUUCAGCUCAGGUCAUGAUUUCAGUUUGUGAGUUCGAGGCCCAAGUCAGGCUCUGUGCUGACAGCUCAGAGCUUGGAGCCUGCUUUGGAUUCUGUGUCUCCCUCACUCUUUGACCCUCCCCUGCUCGCUCGCUCUCUCUCUCUCUCUCUCUCUCUCUCAAAAAUAAACAUUUAAAAGCAAAAAAAUUUUUUUUUAAUUUAAAAAUUAAAGAACAAAAACAAAAAAAAAAACCCUGGAGCUCUCAGUAGAUACCAACUGAAAACUUCGCCAAACUGGGUUUUUCCCCCAGAGACUGGUGAGUGUGGACCGUUGGAGGUGGCUCAUUAAUGUAACGUGAAUAACCCUAACAACAAAAUCAUUCUCCUUUCUUUCCCCUCAGGUCACCGGUUAGUUAACACGGACACUGCAGUGUCUGGAAAGGGAACAGUGGCCCCAACGAUAUGGUUCUGAGAACCUAGGACCUGCUCACCGCCCUGUGCCCAGUGGGGGCCUCCUUCGUGGGUUCAGAUUCAUGUGUGGAUUUUUAUGUCUCCAACCGCAUGACAUAGCAGCCUUGGGAAAUUUCCUCUUGGUUAAAGCAGAGACCCUGGUAACACCACCCCACCAGGAGAAGGAAGAAGGCACAGGGUUGUGGGCUGGGUAGCAGUCUCGGCCACCGCCCACCCUGCAGCCACCCACAUAUCGGCGCUCGCCCUUCUGCUGCACCCACGGCCCACCCCCACCGCACCCCCGGACACAGCGGCAAAGCCCCAGCCAGUCCCCGCAUCUGCCUCAAAACGCAGGGUCCCAAGGAUAAGGCGGAAAACCUCCCCACCAGAAACGGUUCGAAGCUACGAACCAGGCAGUCCCCGGCUCCCAGUCCACCCAGCAUAAGGCGGGUGAGUGGGAAGGAGACGCCGGCACGAAAAACGCCCCUCUGGAGCGAAGACUGAGAAGCACAACCUCCCCCUGGUCCAUCCACGUGCGCCAAUCCGAGCAGGAGGAACAGCCAGGACGCCACGGCCCCCCGCCAGGGUCCUCGCGAGAGUGUUUGUUCCAAAACGUGUGGACCUUGGAUCCAUCAGUUGCCCAUCAGCUUUAGCCGUCAAGGCAGUUUCUAACCCUGAAGUGUCGGCCGUUUUCACUCACUGGCCUGCAUGUGGCCCCCCCUGUCUCCUGGUGCGAUGUCCUGGCCACCCCGAGCCUCCGGGGGCCACGGGCUUUGCUGCGAACUUCACACGUCAGUGGGACAGGGCUCGGUUUUCUUUUCUGCUAAGUGUGCUGCUUUGUGGAAAACCAUCCCAGUUCCGGAUGCCAUGGGAGAGCCUAGCAGUUGCUUUUUCAACCCUGCAAGGCUCCAAAUUACCAAGCUCUCGGUCACUUUCGGUGGCAGGCUGCAGGCAGGGAGCAUCUCCAUCAUCACAGGGCAUCCCCUCUUCCCACGCCUACACCGGCCGCUCUCUUGUAAAGCUUUGCUAAAGGCAGCAAGCAGCGGCUACCAUGCUUCUGCGUCAUGGCUCUCUCCUGUCAUCCCUCCCUCGAUCCGAGCUCAGAACACGGGCCGCUUUUCAAAAAACAGCAGGGGACAGCUGUUAGCAACUGCUUCAUUUCUCCACGCUGUCGCCAGGCCUCUGGCCCACAGUGUUUGAGUCCCUGACACCUGCCAACAUCCACGGAGUCGGUGCCACAUGUCUCUGUUCUGCUACUCACAGCUCACCUCUCUUGGUCCUUUUUUUUUUUUCUAUCAGUUAAGAUUAGAUUUGCCCGGAAAACCCAAAGGAGCAGUGGCUUCAAUGGGACUUUUAAAUCUCCCGCAUUCUGAGUCCACGGUAAGGUGGUCCAUGGACGGUCCAGUGGGACUCCAUGGCGGCAGGAACUGACCCAUCUUCUAUCUUGCUGGCAUGCCAUAUAUCAGCACUAAUGGUGAUGCCCAGGAUGGCUGCCUCAGCGCCAGCCAUCAAAUCCUCAUUCCAACCCAGUAGAAGAAGAAGAGUGGGAACAGACAGACACAUCUGCCCUCAUCAGGGACACUUCCAGGAAGUUGCCUUCCGUUGGCCAGAACUUAGUCGCAUGGUCAUACCUGGCUCAAGGGAGGAUGGAAGGGUCACUUCCAUUCUGGAUGGCAGAAAAGUCAAGUUUCUGUUGAGGAAUGAGAGGUGAUGGAUUUGGGGGCAAUUAGGCUCUGCUAAUGUGGAAAAGUUCAGUAUCAGUGUCUCUCCUAUUCUAGCUCUAGAAUUCUCUAGCCUCCUCCUUCUUCAGGACAGAUUUAUGCCUCUGACAUGCACCUUGCAGAAGAGACAAUGACCAGACAAGGUGUGCAGUCUUCUGCCCACGCAUCAUUCUUGAGGAUGCUUUUGCUACACCUACUUCACGGGGACAUAAAGUGAGGGUCUCCGGGCUACUGUUUCUGUUGGGGAGGUUUUAACAGCUAGGAGGGCUUCUGUGCUCAGUGAAUCACAGAAGUGACCAAAACAAACACCUCCGAUGAGAAGCACCCAUAAAACCAACGAGACUAUUAAUGCAAAUGGAAAACCAAAAUUGAUGAAAUGCAAAAUAUUUAACUUCCCAGACUGCAGCUAGCCUUGGACUACUAAGUCAUUUAGAGGCUAAUGUUCUUAAUAAAAUCACAUUUUCCCUGAAAAUA